UGUGUGUGUGUGUGUGUGUGUGUGUGUGUGUGUGUGUGUGUACGAUAACCAUUUCUGUCUAGAAACUAGUAGACACCCCCCUGUGAGGAGAGAAUAAAAUCAUAGGAAAAACUCAGACGAGUGCUCAGA
Molecule: long non-coding RNA, 129 nt
Organism: Etheostoma cragini (Arkansas darter)
Lineage: Eukaryota; Metazoa; Chordata; Actinopteri; Perciformes; Percidae
Exons: 3
Source: RefSeq, a predicted model, not a curated record